RNAcentral lists this long non-coding RNA (2729 nucleotides) under Oryctolagus cuniculus (rabbit). Its description in RNAcentral is "lncRNA (ENSOCUG00000035036.1)". Lineage: Eukaryota; Metazoa; Chordata; Mammalia; Lagomorpha; Leporidae. The record is from RNAcentral.
CCGCUCCUCCACGCGGCUUCCUGGGCCCUGACUCCCACACCUGCCCCGCACAGCCCCCGCCUGGAACAGCAGAGCCAAACCGGACAAGCCGAGGGGACCACGAGGGGACCACGUGCAGUCACUCCCCCGGAGGGGCUCAGAGCUGCGGGAGGCCAGGCAGUGACCGCAGCCCGAGAAGGGCUGAGAUGGACAGCGGAGGCGAGCACUGACCCCAGGCCCAGGCCGCGGGAGGCUGCCGGCCACUUCCCCGGGACGCCCCUCCCCAGGCGCAGGCUCGGCGGGGCGGGCUCCCGCCUCCCGGGGUGCCAGGUGGGCUCGCCCCACCCAGGGCCCCGAGGAGGGCACCGCACCUGCGCCGGCCCUCAGGCAGGCCCUGGUCCAGUCGGUGGUCAGCAGGACCUGGCUGGGCGCCGGGCGAGAGGCGGCCGCACGCCGGCCUGGGCUCUGGGGGACCCGGCCCGGCCGGCCCCGUGCAGCGGCGCUGGGCCCCGCACGCGAGCGUGGGCGCCCACCCUGGGCCAAGGGACCGCGCCCCCGCACCACGCGCCCCCGCGCGCCAGUGCCCACUCGCUCCCGGCGUGCUUGCGCGCGCUCACGUGUGUCCGCACGCACGCGCGCGCGGUCUCGCGACCAGGCCAGCCGCGGGACCCAGGGCCGGCCCGCCACCACCCCUCAGGCUCCUUGUCCGGGUCCCCGCGGGCGCCGUCCGGCCGGCUGCGGGGGUCGCGCAGUCCCCACGCCCGGCCCAGGCCGUCGCUCCACGGGGAGCGAACGCGCGGCGAGCUCGCGGUCGCGGCGUUUGGGCCUCGCCGGCCGCCGUCCGCCCGCUUCCGGCCGCGGGACACGCCGGGACGCGUAGUCCGCGGGGCCUGGGCAGCGCCCAGGGUCACGGACCCGGCCGGGCUGGGCGCUCCCAGCGGCGGGGUGGGCGUCCCGUGCUGUGUGGGUGCCGGGCGCCGGUCCCCGCACCGCCCCUCGGGCUGGGGGCGCACGGACGCACCCGAGAGCCGCGGAGUGGGUGAGAUGCUGCGGCGGGGUUCGCGGCGGGAGGCCCGGGGCGUGGCCCGAGGGGCGUGGCCCGAGGGGCGGGAGGGCGUGGCCCGAGGGGCGGAAGGGCGUGGCUCUAGGGGGCGGGGCUGGAGGGCGUGUCCCGAGGGGGCGGGUCUGAGUCGCAGGGCAAGUGAAGGCUGUGGAGGUCUCGAGUGGGCGUGGCGUGAUGGGGGCGUGGUCCAAUGGGGCGGGGCGGGGGCUGGGCAGGUGGCCGCAGGGGUGGUCCCGGGAUGGGGCCUCGAGUGGGCGUGGUGCGGCGGGGGCGUGGUCCCGUUGGGGGCGUGGCAGGGGCGAGGCCGCGCCGGUGGCGGGGCGGGGUCCUGGGCAGGUGGCCUCCGCCCAGGUCUGGGAGCGCCCACCUGUUGGGGUGACCCGGAUGGCUGCCCUGAGUGUCGCGCCUCCCCCUGGACGCUGGGGCCCUCCGGGGCGCAGACUCGUCUGGCUCCACGCUGCCCCACUGUGUGGGCAGUGGCCGCGCGGACUUGGACGCCACCUUCCGAGGAAGGGCUCCGAGUCCCGGUCCCCGUGUCUGCAGCGCGUGGGACUCCUGUGGCUGGGCAGGCCUCGCUGGACAGCGCAGGGAGUAGACGUGGCUGUGGGCCCGGCCGGUGCCGCUCCUCCCCUCCCCAUCCUGCCGGCCCAGCUGGCCCCAGGUCACCUGUCCCUGGCUCACCUCCCUGCUGCUGUCCCCCGGUGUUUCCUGGCAGGACUGUGAGAGGCUGGUACACCUGGGGGCCUUCCUGGCAGCCGGGCCAGCACCUCCCCCUGCAGUGGGCCCCGGGCUCUGACUGGGCUCUGUUCCCCAGGGCGGCCUGUUUGGAGGAGGGGGCUGGGCAAGGGGCACCAUCAUGAGUGUCAGCUCUGCCCCCCACGGCAGGGAAGGGGGUGGCGCGUGCGUGGAGGUGGCUGGCGUCUGCCUCACCUGAGCCACAACAGGACGGGGCCCGGCUGUCGUGCAGAGGUAGCCACCGCGGCCACCAUGCGGCCUUGUGCGGCUGCCCCCGGGCUCGGGUGUCCGGGGGCACCAAAGGCUCGGCCGUUCUCCCCCAUCCUGUGGCCUGGCCCUGCUGCCAGCUUCCGCCUGUCCAGGCUGUGACCAGCCUCUGCAGCCGUGUCCGGCCCGCCCUCUUCCCUCAGCCGGCUCAGCCUGGCCGUGUGCCUCCGGGGGGGCCCCCAGGGCUCCCUGUGACGCCUCCCUCGGACGCUUCUGCUGGGCCAGUCCUCUCGGCCAGGCCUGGGCACUGAGCAGCCCUCGCCUUCCUUCCAGGCCGUGCCAGUGGCCGAAGGCCGGUCCCUCCUGGCUUCCUCUCUCCUGCCAGGAACACGUCCCAGCGUCCCCUGGGUGUCGGGGGCACAGGUGGAGGAAGCGGGGUGCCCCUGGGCUGCUGUCAGGAAGCACGGGGGGGACAGAGGCCUCUGAGAGGGGAGGGGACACUCUGUGCAGCCCGGACGGGGAGCCUGGAGGGAGGCUGCCAUGGGGGAGUCUGGGGUAGACCCUGGGGUGGACACUGCGUGCCUCCUUCCGCCUGCAGAGGGGAUGUGGGUACUGGGUGGGCUUGGCGAUGCUGAGUGGACGCAAGGCUGUGUGCUACAGCUCGCGUUUUCAGUUUGAGAGGCAGAGAGAGAAGGAGGGGGGAGAGGGAGUGAGCAAGGCAGAGGUGUGGUGUGGAGUAGUGAGU